CACCGCGGUUAGACGAGAGGCCCCAGUUGAUAGUAUAACGGCGUAAAGGGUGGUUAAGGAGAAAUAAAAAUAAAGCCAAAUGGCCCCUCGGCCGUCAUACGCUUCUGGGUGUCCGAAGCCCUUACACGAAAGUAGCUUUAAUAAACCAACCUGACCCCACGAAAACUGAGAAA
This 173-nucleotide ribosomal RNA is filed under the name Scaphognathops bandanensis. RNAcentral describes it as "partial 12S rRNA". The record is from RNAcentral. Lineage: Eukaryota; Metazoa; Chordata; Actinopteri; Cypriniformes; Cyprinidae.